UUUUUCUUUUUUUUUCUUUUCUUUUUUCUUUUUUUCUGAAAAAGCUGUUUUU
Molecule: non-coding RNA, 52 nt
Filed under: Lotharella globosa
Lineage: Eukaryota; Cercozoa; Chlorarachniophyceae
Source: RNAcentral